RNAcentral lists this long non-coding RNA (290 nucleotides) under Brachypodium distachyon (stiff brome). RNAcentral describes it as "long non-coding RNA (BDIS_LNC004913)". Lineage: Eukaryota; Viridiplantae; Streptophyta; Magnoliopsida; Poales; Poaceae. The record is from RNAcentral.
UUCUAUGAUUAAGUGUCAUUAUGUGUGGCUUUUGUGCUAUAAAAAAUCUAUAACAUUCAAUUUUUCUCAAAAAAUUGUCAAAUUUGGUGUGGACACUUCCCUAGUGCUAUAGAACACCCAUAAAAAAAAUUCAAGUUCAAACAAAAAAAACAUGUCACAUUUGGUUCAUGGGGUUGGAUGUUUUCUGAGAGAUCUACCUAGAUGGUUUCUGAGAGAUCUACCUACACGGGUUCGAUCUCUGUGCUUUUAGUGCUAGUCCCUGGAUCGACUCACUAGCACACAUAGUUCAA